This 224-nucleotide ribosomal RNA is filed under the name uncultured fungus. RNAcentral describes it as "partial small subunit ribosomal RNA". The stretch from base 51 to 224 matches the Rfam family "Eukaryotic small subunit ribosomal RNA", at positions 691 to 864 of the family's 1831-position model. Lineage: Eukaryota; Fungi. The record is from RNAcentral.
GGCCCUGGUCGUUCGGUCCGCUUCACGGCGUGCACUGUUUCGAUUGGGCCUUCCUUUCUUGGUGAGCCUUGGAUGCCGUUUAUUCGGUGUUCAAGUGUCUGGCCAGGACUUUUACUUUGAAAAAAUUAGAGUGUUCAAAGCAGGCCUAUGCCCGAAUAUAUUAGCAUGGAAUAAUAGAAUAGGACGUUGCGGUCCUAUUUUGUUGGUUUCUAGGAUCCGCCGUA